UGUAGGCCUAGUAUAUUAGUAGUAGCCUAGUAGACCUACAUUCUUAGAAAUUAAAUGGUACGAGAGAAGAAACGAUCUACAUUUUAGCGCACUAGACCGCGAUGUCUUCAAGGGUUGAAUGAAGGGAGUUUGCAAAAAUGUGCGUAUUUUUCCAAGUCAAUAAACA
Molecule: long non-coding RNA, 166 nt
Organism: Alosa sapidissima (American shad)
Lineage: Eukaryota; Metazoa; Chordata; Actinopteri; Clupeiformes; Clupeidae
Exons: 3
Source: RefSeq, a predicted model, not a curated record